RNAcentral lists this ribosomal RNA (370 nucleotides) under uncultured Kushneria sp. Its description in RNAcentral is "bacterial SSU rRNA". It matches the Rfam family "Bacterial small subunit ribosomal RNA", at positions 1017 to 1382 of the family's 1533-position model. Lineage: Bacteria; Pseudomonadati; Pseudomonadota; Gammaproteobacteria; Oceanospirillales; Halomonadaceae. The record is from RNAcentral.
CCUUCGGGAACCGUGAGACAGGUGCUGCAUGGCUGUCGUCAGCUCGUGUUGUGAAAUGUUGGGUUAAGUCCCGCAACGAGCGCAAACCCCUUUAUCCCUUUGUUGCCAGCGGUCCGGCCGGGAACUCAAAGGAGACUGCCAGUGAUAAACUGGAGGAAGGUGGGGAUGACGUCAAGUCAUCAUGGCCCUUACGACCAGGGCUACACACGUGCUACAAUGGGCGGUACAAAGGGUAGCGAUGCCGCGAGGUGAAGCCAAUCCCAAAAAGCCGUCCACAGUUCGGAUUGGAGUCUGCAACUCGACUCCAUGAAGCCGGAAUCGCUAGUAAUCGUGGAUCAGCAUGCCACGGUCGAAUACGUUCCCGGGCCUU